AGGUUUACGUCCUCGCUGCGCUUGUGGGCGUUGCCGUUGCUGACACUAUCCCCUACACCCCUCCACGUCCCUCCUACAACGCUCCCGCCCCUGCUGGUCCUGCCCAAUACGAAUUUGACUGGACCAUGAACGACGCUAACUCCGGCAACAACUACGGCCACAAUGAAGCUCGUACUGGUUAUGACACUCAAGGAUCCUAUUAAGUUCAGCUCCCCGACGGUCGUCUGCAGAGAGUUACUUAUACUGUGAACGGCGACUCCGGCUACUUGGCUCAAGUUGAGUACGAGGGUGAGGCGCAUUACCCAGCCUACCAACCUGCUUCCAGCUACAGACCAACACCUAGUUAUGCGUAAUAAAAUCUUAGUUUGAAUAGAAA
Molecule: long non-coding RNA, 376 nt
Organism: Homarus americanus (American lobster)
Lineage: Eukaryota; Metazoa; Arthropoda; Malacostraca; Decapoda; Nephropidae
Exons: 2
Source: RefSeq, a predicted model, not a curated record